RNAcentral lists this ribosomal RNA (5573 nucleotides) under Triticum aestivum (bread wheat). RNAcentral's name for it is "partial small subunit ribosomal RNA". The record is from RNAcentral. Lineage: Eukaryota; Viridiplantae; Streptophyta; Magnoliopsida; Poales; Poaceae.
CUUUGUAGUCGGGUGGCGGGCGUAGAGCGAGAAUAGGUAAGGGGUAGGUAGAGCAAGAGCAGGAGAGGCGUCCGGGCGAGGUGCGUUCGUGGGGGCGGUGACGGCCGCGAGCUACGCAACCGGCGACGACGUUGACGCACGGCCGCUUCGAUGAAGGGGUGCCCGACCUCAUGCUCGGAAAGUCGACCACGCGUUCCCCUCGACGUUUUGGGUAGAACACCUGGAUGUUCAACAUGUACGUUCGCGACCAUUACCGCCUGUUGGUGGCGACGAUCGGCGGCUGCGGGUCGAAAUGGGCGCUGCCGCCAGACGUUAGUCGACUCACUAUGUUGAUGCCGUUACUCUACGACCCUGGUCGUGGUUUUAAACGAUGUUGGUUACAAAAGACCAAACAGGGUUAAAAUGACAAAAACGAUGGUAGCGAAAAUCUAAACGACCUUGGUCGUGUUUUUAAACGAUGGUAGCCGCAAAAACUAAAAUGACCUUGCUUGCCGUUAAAAACGUUAAACGAUGGUGGUCGCAAAACCAAACGACCUUGGUCUAGGUAAAAAAACGAUGUUGUCUUGUAAAACGAAAACGACCUUGUUUGCAGUUAAAAAAAACGUAAAAACAAAGGUUACCGUAAAACAAAACGACCUUGGCGAUGUUUAAAACGAUGAUGGCCACAAAGCCAAACAACCUUGUAACGGAUUAAAAAAGAUAAAAACGAAAGUAGCAAAAAUAAAAAACGACCUUGGUCGGAGUUUUAAACAAUGGUGGUAUAAGUCUAAAACGACCUUGGCCAUUAAAAAGACUAAGUUGGCCCAUGACCUCAAAAGACAACGGAAAAGCAAACGAUGUUAGACGAUACGCCCUACGACCUUGGAGAACAAAACCGCUUCGACGUUACGGCGCACUUUUGACUACUUCAUCGACGGUCACGCAAAACCACAGCGUUGGUACCCACCGCCUCUACGUUAGGCAGCGACCGUCAAAAGAGUACUUAAAUAGCUCGACGUUGGGCGGGUGUUACCUCAACACUGUCGAAGCAGCCUCUAAAAACGCACCCGGUACCGGUGGUAACGUAGCCACCCUCCCUUCCCCUCUUCUUUCGACGUUGACCGCUCGCUACCGCCUUUUGACGCUGGCCGCCGCUCCCGGCGCUCCGAGCAGGGUUCCACUCCCUCCUACCGACCUCUCCCGCCGCUGGCCUCGACGUCGCACACGCGUACCGCUUAGGUAACUCCCUCGCUCCCCUAAAAAAUAAUAUGAUAUUCGACCCUUGCUUCGCCUUUCUUCUAGACUGCCGAUUGAAAAUAGCUUAGCCUCCCGCAUCCGCACUGGCCGGCUUUGAAAACCCGGCCGCGCGGCCGCGGAUAAUCAGCGGUUUUCUUUUAGCCCACCGCAUUAUUGAAAACGGCUAGCCUAGACGCGGAAUAUAAGAACAGAAGAGGAGGAGGACUGGGUCCGGCUUUGGAUUAGAUCGGCGGAGGAGGGGAGGGUGAGGUCUAGUUGUUUAGAGUGGUACCGGAAGAGGAAAAGGAAACGGUUGGUACCUACCGCCGGCCUAGGAGUGGUACCGGAAGAGGAUGGACAGGCGGCCUAGGAGCUUGGUACCGGAAGUUGAGAGAGGCGGCCUAGGAGUGGUACUGGAACACGAAAGACCUGCGGCCUAGAAGUCGUACCGGCCGGAAGAGUACAGACGGCGGCCUAGGAGUCGUACCGGCAGGCAGGAGCUACCUUGGCCGGAGUCGCGCGGCGCGGCGCGGGCGUCUACGUCUAGAAGGUCGCCUGUCCCUGCACCCUGCCGGCCGUUGUGGGAGGGCCUGGGCAACUGUCGUACUACCGGCGCCGGGAGAAAACCGAACCACCAAGCCAAGGCAAACCAAGCUAGACUCCUACAAGCUCAUAAUAAUAAUCAUAAACUGCAAUCUAUACAAAAUUACCCACCCACCAACUACGUUCUUUCUAAGUAUCGGUAGACGACCGAGAUAAAAUGUAGUCCCGCAGAAGCUAAAAUAUCCAAUAAAAGGGUCUACUAAACAUAGAAAUCCUUAAAAGGGAUUCAUUCGUGAGUAAACGUGAGAUAAAAAUCUCUUUCUAACGGCACGAGAACAAAGUUAAGGCAUUGGAGAAACUAACUACGUAAAAAAAGAAAAAAUCAAAGGGUCAAUAUGAUAAAAAGACCAGUAAAUAUAGUAAUAAUUGGUUCCAAGGAAGCGGUACAAAACUAUCAGGAUGUUUGGUGUCAACAGCAUGUGGUGGAAACCAAUAUCGUGAUCUCAGUUUGUGUGCUCCUAUUCUAUUUAGUAUGGUUGGUACAUUAAACAGUAGAACCACGUAAGCGUAGGGUUGGGGAUACGCUAUCCGAUUCACCCUGUGUACUUGAAGAGAAGAGAUAAGUGGAACAAUUUAGUCAAAAAUAAAAAAACGGCGUUGAGAAUCAUGGUGAAUAACCCUCCACGAUUUAACUCUCCAUCUAAAAAGUUUUAUGUAAAAUAAGUCCGGUACAAUUCGGAAAACUAAAAUCGUGAAUAGGAGUGUAAUAAAUCACAGUAGCAGUCAGGAAGAAAGAUUGGAAGGUAAAGAUGGAUACGUUUACGAGAAACGUACGACUACGGCUCCCGAUCUAAAAAAAAGAUCGUGGUCACGAUUACCUACACUCCGCUACGCGAUUCUAAUUUUUUGAAUCGGGGUGGGGGUGGUGAUCGAGUCAUAGGUGACGAUACGAUUUACUUGAGCGAAAUUCAUCAAAUUAUACAAACAGUUAAAAUCAACUUAAAAAGAUUACAGAUCGAGUAUAUCAACCAGGAUAUUCCACUUAUCGUUCCCUUUUGAUUAUUACAUGAGGGAGGCAGGUCUUUAUGAACAGUAGUUUUACUUAUUUUCCCCUACAAAGAUCUACAUAAAACCAAGAUGUAUGUAGGGAAAAACAGGUAAAACUACUGUUCAUAAAAGCCUGCCUCCCUCAUAAAUAGAAUCGAAGAUUAAACAACCAAAACUUUCUAGGUUUACAAAGUUCACGUUUUCCGCACGAUCUCCUGCGUCCUUAAUCGAUCGCAAACACAAACAGUCAACUUCCUACAAUCUACGAAUUCGCAAAUAGCGGAGAGACCAAGUAUCCAUUUUGUUUCCUUUGUGCAUCCCUCUUUUCCUACAGGAAAUUUUUAAGGACCCCACACUCUACCAACAUAAAAAACAUCGUACCAUUGUAAGAUAAAUCUGAAAAAAAACAGAACAAAUUUAUGUUAAGCUGAUAAAUCAAAUAAUUAUAAGAAAACAAAAACAGUGAAAAAAGAAGAAUAAGUACGUGGUUUGUGCGUACAAGAGUUUUAAAUGCACAAGAGUUAGACGAUAGAACGCUCGCACAGACACGACAUAAGAAAUCAAAGACUCCUAGGACGUUUAGUUACACGGGAAAACGAACACUCUACAUACGUCGGUUCUCUACACUAAUUUGUUGUUACUGAUUAAACUUAUCUCUAUUCUUAGACCACACGGAUAAACAUAAUGGUGAUUUAUUUGAUUCGUAAUACACAUAGUUAAAAAAACCAAGCUGCUUAUGACCAAAUGUAAAAAACUUCAGACACGAGUGGUAGGACACGUGGGAACGAGCAUGUCCUUCCUAAGACAUGGUGAUCAGGUACCCCAUCGACAGUUUUCGACGUGACAAAGGGAUCCGCGAGUUCAAGAAGAAAAUUUUAGUCAAUUCCCACUGAUAAUACCACCGUUUUACCUAACGUCUACAUAGUUUAACGGGAAAACGAACACUCCACAUACGUCGAUUUUAUACGUUAAUUUAUCGUUGAUCACGAAAAUCCUUAUCCGACAGAUGAGGUCAAGCCAUUCUACUUCGUAUCACAAGAUUUCUUCAAUAUGUACUCGUGUCGUUCGUCACAAGAACGAGUUUAUCUCUUCAGAGCCGUCUAGACCACGUGAGAUAAACUUCAUAAGGUGACUGUUGGCGGGGUCAAGAAGUAGACUUUUAUUUUAUUCUUCACCGUAGUCGUCGUUUUGUAUUAGUUCAUAAGUUCCUCUUAACCGUACGUUCCACUGACCUCCGCUCCCUACCGAGUCUUAAAUCGUGAAGACGAGACUCCGGUCACUUCGUCCACCAGUUAGUUGUACAUCGCUCCUUUCCUUGUCUUACCAUGUCCUUCUUAACUACUAGAAUUACCGGGAGAAAGUGAAAGUUGAGUCACGAAAACCUUUAUCCGGCAGAUGAGGUCAAGCCAUUCUACUUCGUAUCACAAGAUUUCUUCAAUAUGUACUCGUGUCGUUCGUCACACGAACGAGUUUAUCUCUUCAAAAACGUCUAGUCUACUUAAAAAACUACUUCGUAAGAUGACUGCGGGAGGGGUCGCGAAGUAGACUUUUAUUUUAUUUUUCACCGUAGUCGUCGUUUUGUAGUAGUUCAUAAGUUCCUCUUAACCACACAUUCCACUGACCUCCGCUCUCUAUCGAGUCUUAGGUCGUGAAUACGGCACUCCGGACCUCAAAUGUCGAUUCUGGCCCGUAACACUAAAUUCCGGAGUUUUGUCAUCAUAGUAACAGUACCAACACCUUAUAUAUCCCUGCUGCGGUACCUUCAAGAGAACACGAGACAAAGUAAGUACCAGCGCCUAUUAUUCAUCUCCAACCGGGGCGACGACUCGGUCGCGCUCGGUGUUUAAACGGUACCACUCGAUGAGGUCUAGGGGAGGGAAUGAAACGAUACGCGAAGCACCGGUAACUCGGUACCUACCAGAAUCAAUUGUAAAACGCCACCGUUAACUAAGAGCCACCCCACACCACCCCAACGUGGACCUGCAAUUAACAAAUAUUACGCACCUUAGGUUUUGAUGUUCUAGACUACUGCUUUUCUAUGUACGAGGAGCGUGGUAUCGACUAUCUACUUAGAAUCGUGUGACUAUAACAGUGUAAAUCAGUCCGACUAAAUAGUUUUCCCCUGCUAUAACCUAAGACAUGGGGUAGACAUCUCAAUACCACCCAGGUGGUGAAGGCCGGUGUGUUAAUCAAAGAGAUUCCAGUCUUCUUGAUGUAGAAGUCGAGUUCGUUAUACACGUAAGUCCAUGACUGGACGGUCUAAGGAAGGUAACAUUAGAUACACUUCUUUUUGUCACUUACAAAGAACUACUUGUUUCCACGGUUACGUUGCUAACGUAGUCAGUAGUUUUCCUGGUACUACAUUUUCAACUUUUGCUUUGUUCCAGAGUCCGUCACGAAUCAAAGUACCGUGUUACAAAGACAACAAAAAUCUGCAAAUCGCGACAAGGUAUCUGUAUCUGUACUUUACCAAUGAACAUACCUUCGUCCGAGCUGUUACACUACAAAUAUAUUAACCAUUUGGUUGUUCUUCAUUGACCUGCACGAGAGAACGCACGUACCGUUUAUUACACGAACGUUUUUAUCUUCCAUUGAAUGUUCAAGAAACUAGAAACUUAGAAACCUGAACUAGGGCCACAAGGGGAACUACGACCGAUUGAGUAGAGCGGACAAACUCGAACCGAAAUUUGGUUCCGACGUUACGCCUUUAAACAAUCCACGGUCAAACAUACAAACAUUUAAAACGUUAAAACACACACACAAAAAUG